Ziziphus jujuba (common jujube) is the source of this 266-nucleotide long non-coding RNA. RefSeq lists it as uncharacterized. Lineage: Eukaryota; Viridiplantae; Streptophyta; Magnoliopsida; Rosales; Rhamnaceae. The record is from RefSeq and is a predicted model, not a curated record. The transcript has 2 exons.
CCCCUUACUUUGGACACUCUGAAUUCAUUCUCAGCCUCCAUUUUUCAAGAUUCUCCACUGUUUGCAAGAUCCGAUGAUUCCAAGUUUGGCCAAAAAAUUUGGGAGCUUUUUUGGCCACAGGCUAAGCUUUUGGACCAAGGUACCAAGAUUCAUAUUGGAGACAAUCUAACGGUAAAGCUGGUUUGAACUGUAAUCUGUGAGUGAAUCUUAUUUCUGAAAUGAUUUUGAAAAUUAUAUAAUGAUAACAUACGAUAUAUAAAUUACCU